UGGGAUGUAGCUCAGUUGGUAGAGCACCGGUUUUUGAUACCGUAGGUCGAAGGUUCGAGUCCUUCCAUCCCAGCCA
Molecule: transfer RNA, 76 nt
Filed under: Rickettsiaceae bacterium
Lineage: Bacteria; Pseudomonadati; Pseudomonadota; Alphaproteobacteria; Rickettsiales; Rickettsiaceae
Also listed under: 1 other name
Description: tRNA-Gln
Rfam family: tRNA
About the family: Transfer RNA (tRNA) molecules are approximately 80 nucleotides in length.
Source: RNAcentral